CCCUUAGACGUUCUGGGCCGCACGCGCGCUACACUGACGAAGGCAACGAGCUUUCCUUUACCGAAAGGUACGGGUAAUCUUUUGAAACUUCGUCGUGCUGGGGAUAGAUCCUUGCAAUUUUUGAUCUUAAACGAGGAAUUCCUAGUAAGCGCAAGUCAUCAACUUGCGUUGAUUACGUCCCUACCCUUUGUACACACCGCCCGUCGCUACUACCGAUUGAAUGGUUUAGUGAGGCCUUCGGAUCCGCGACUCGUUUUGUGGAGAAGUUGGACAAACUCAGUCAUUUAGAGGAAGUAAAAGUCGUAACA
This 308-nucleotide ribosomal RNA is filed under the name uncultured eukaryote. RNAcentral's name for it is "partial 18S ribosomal RNA". It matches the Rfam family "Eukaryotic small subunit ribosomal RNA", at positions 1470 to 1796 of the family's 1831-position model. The record is from RNAcentral.